UCUCUUUCACUUUCAUCAAAAGGCUCUUUAGUUUCUCUUCACUUUCUGCCAGAAGGGUGGUGUCAUCUGCACAUCUGAGGUUAUUGAUAUGGAUCAAAAUAAUUCUGGAGAAAAGGAAGACAGAUGGAUCAGACAAACACAGAAGACUUAACUACACUAAGAAGCUAAAUCUACGUUGUUUGUCUCCAAGUUGAGCUUGAGAAGCUGAACUGUUUUAGAGAUGCCCAGAACCUAGCCUCCACCUCUUCACAACACAGGU
Long non-coding RNA from Bos taurus (domestic cattle), 259 nucleotides. NCBI's taxonomy places the organism in Eukaryota, Metazoa, Chordata, Mammalia, Artiodactyla, Bovidae. The record is from Ensembl.